AAUGGGCGAAAGCCUGAUCCAGCAAUGCCGCGUGUGUGAAGAAGGCCUGCGGGUUGUAAAGCACUUUCAGUAGAGAAGAAAAGCUUCUGGUUAAUAACCGGGAGUCUUGACGUAACCUACAGAAGAAGCACCGGCUAACUCCGUGCCAGCAGCCGCGGUAAUACGGAGGGUGCGAGCGUUAAUCGGAAUUACUGGGCGUAAAGCGCGCGUAGGCGGCUUUGUAAGUCGGAUGUGAAAUCCCCGGGCUUAACCUGGGAACUGCAUUCGAUACUGCAGAACUAGAGUAUGGUAGAGGGAAGUGGAAUUUCCGGUGUAGCGGUGAAAUGCGUAGAUAUCGGAAGGAACACCAGUGGCGAAGGCGACUUCCUGGGCCAAUACUGACGCUGAGGUGCGAAAGCGUGGGGAGCAAACAGGAUU
RNAcentral lists this ribosomal RNA (417 nucleotides) under uncultured Gammaproteobacteria bacterium. Its description in RNAcentral is "bacterial SSU rRNA". It matches the Rfam family "Bacterial small subunit ribosomal RNA", at positions 370 to 779 of the family's 1533-position model. The record is from RNAcentral. Lineage: Bacteria; Pseudomonadati; Pseudomonadota; Gammaproteobacteria.